UACGUAGGGGGCUAGCGUUGUCCGGAAUCAUUGGGCGUAAAGCGCGUGUAGGCGGUUCGGUAAGUCCGCUGUGAAAGUCGGGGGCUCAACCCUCGAAUGCCGGUGGAUACUGUCGGACUAGAGUACGGAAGAGGCGAGUGGAAUUCCUGGUGUAGCGGUGAAAUGCGCAGAUAUCAGGAGGAACACCAAUUGCGAAGGCAGCUCGCUGGGACGUUACUGACGCUGAGACGCAAAAGCGUGGGGAGCAAACAGG
This 253-nucleotide ribosomal RNA is filed under the name uncultured bacterium. Its description in RNAcentral is "partial 16S ribosomal RNA". It matches the Rfam family "Bacterial small subunit ribosomal RNA", at positions 524 to 776 of the family's 1533-position model. The record is from RNAcentral.